This 301-nucleotide ribosomal RNA is filed under the name uncultured bacterium. Its description in RNAcentral is "partial 16S ribosomal RNA". It matches the Rfam family "Bacterial small subunit ribosomal RNA", at positions 509 to 807 of the family's 1533-position model. The record is from RNAcentral.
CAGCAGCCGCGGUAAUACGUAGGUGGCAAGCGUUGUCCGGAAUUAUUGGGCGUAAAGCGCGCGCAGGCGGUCUUUUAAGUCUGAUGUGAAAGCCCACGGCUCAACCGUGGAGGGUCAUUGGAAACUGGAGGACUUGAGUGCAGAAGAGGAGAGUGGAAUUCCACGUGUAGCGGUGAAAUGCGUAGAUAUGUGGAGGAACACCAGUGGCGAAGGCGGCUCUCUGGUCUGUAACUGACGCUGAGGCGCGAAAGCGUGGGGAGCAAACAGGAUUAGAUACCCCCGUAGUCCCUGUCUCUUAUAC